This 929-nucleotide long non-coding RNA is filed under the name Coffea arabica (coffee). RNAcentral's name for it is "long non-coding RNA (CARA_LNC000867)". The record is from RNAcentral. Lineage: Eukaryota; Viridiplantae; Streptophyta; Magnoliopsida; Gentianales; Rubiaceae.
AUUUCCUUCAAUAAAUCCUCUUUCAGCUCAUGCCAUAUUGACUUCUGGCAGCUCACUAAUUGACUUUUUAGAAUGGUCACAUGACUGUAGGAUUCAUGCAGUUCAGAAGCAUAAAAUUCCUCAUGAAAGUGUUGCUUUACUUGGUCUUUUGUGUAAAUAUGGGGAGCGAGAGGAUUCUAAAUCUGGAAUGACUGAAAGCUCCUCAUCAGUAUCAUAUGUUCCUGGUAGGAUUCAACCAAGAAGCAACUCUGAAACAAAGAAGAGGAAAUGCACUGACGAUCAUCCCAAAUUUAACAUCUAUGAAAAUGAAUUAUGCCAUUUUGAGUCCCCUACACUAUUUCCAGAUGUUAGAUUGAGUCCUCCAAGAGCAUCUGCCCCACGCAAUAUUUGGAUGUCAGAAAAUUCUGAGAUAAUUGAUGAGUGUGGAAAACCUGGUUUAACCUUUGAUGAUAAUUUUUUUUGUGAAAGGAAGAAAGUGGAGGCAAAUAUGAUGAGGAAUUAUGCAUUUGGAAUGACUGAAGGUCCUCCUAAAUUAGAAGAGAGUCAAAAACCAAAAUAUCUUCAGCACAACACGAAUUUUGGUGUAGAAGAGAUAUUGCAUAUGGCUGCAAGGAACAGAUCUCAUAGACUUGGGAAAGAGAAAUCUGGAAAUCAGCAGGAGGAUUUAAAAGGUGAAGUUAUUGAUACUAAUCUCGCUGCAAUGUUGAGAAAAGAAAUUCCAGAGUUGAACUCUUUAAGUUUCUCACCUCAUGAUGUGAACAAGGACUGGGCAACAGGUAUGUCUGGAACCGCAAGAAAACUAUCAUUUGGUUCAAGUGGCCUUGCUAACUUCCCAACUUCUGCUGAAAUUGACUCUGACUUGGAUGUCUGGAUUUGUCAAAGUACUAAUGAAUAUAAGUCAACGAGAAAAAAUAAAAAUGCUCCAGACU